This 253-nucleotide ribosomal RNA is filed under the name uncultured bacterium. Its description in RNAcentral is "partial 16S ribosomal RNA". It matches the Rfam family "Bacterial small subunit ribosomal RNA", at positions 524 to 776 of the family's 1533-position model. The record is from RNAcentral.
UACGUAGGUGGCAAGCGUUGUCCGGAUUUACUGGGCGUAAAGAGCGCGCAGGCGGUCGUUCAAGUCGCGUGUGAAAGCCCCCGGCUCAACUGGGGAGGGUCACGCGAUACUGAUCGACUCGAAGGCAGGAGAGGGUAGUGGAAUUCCCGGUGUAGUGGUGAAAUGCGUAGAUAUCGGGAGGAACACCAGUGGCGAAGGCGGCUCACUGGUCCGGUACUGACGCUCAGGCGCGAAAGCUAGGGGAGCGAACAGG